RNAcentral lists this ribosomal RNA (449 nucleotides) under uncultured bacterium. RNAcentral's name for it is "partial 16S ribosomal RNA". It matches the Rfam family "Bacterial small subunit ribosomal RNA", at positions 28 to 523 of the family's 1533-position model. The record is from RNAcentral.
GAUGAACGCUGGCGGCAUGCCUAACACAUGCAAGUCGAACGAGAUCUUCGGGUCUAGUGGCGCACGGGUGCGUAACGCAUGGGAAUCUGCCCUUUGGUUCGGAAUAACAGUUGGAAACGACUGCUAAUACCGGAUGAUGACGAAAGUCCAAAGAUUUAUCGCCAGAGGAUGAGCCCGCGUAGGAUUAGCUAGUUGGUGUGGUAAAGGCGCACCAAGGCGACGAUCCUUAGCUGGUCUGAGAGGAUGAUCAGCCACACUGGGACUGAGACACGGCCCAGACUCCUACGGGAGGCAGCAGUGGGGAAUAUUGGACAAUGGGCGAAAGCCUGAUCCAGCAAUGCCGCGUGAGUGAUGAAGGCCUUAGGGUUGUAAAGCUCUUUUACCCGGGAUGAUAAUGACAGUACCGGGAGAAUAAGCUCCGGCUAACUCCGUGCCAGCCGCCGCAGUAA